Molecule: long non-coding RNA, 300 nt
Filed under: Astyanax mexicanus (Mexican tetra)
Lineage: Eukaryota; Metazoa; Chordata; Actinopteri; Characiformes; Acestrorhamphidae
Description: lncRNA (ENSAMXG00005018142.1)
Source: RNAcentral
CUCGGCUGUGUUCAGAUGUACAGAGCUGCGCUGAGACCAAAGUCAUCGAGACACACAGUCUGAUUGAGAGGAAUAAGGUACUAGUUCAAAGCGUUGGAGGUGAGGAUGGGAAACUUUGAGGUUACAAAACCAGACUAUCUUUGUUAUGACCUUUUUAGCAGCGAUGCUUGCAAAGGAGAGAAAAGCACCAGCUGUGGCCCUCCGACACCAGGUCCUGGUCAAAGUGACACAGCCCACCCCUCAUCUGCUGUCACAGGCUGUCGCUUUCUAGGAUGAAGUCUUACGGACAGAUGAGAUGAA